UAAUAAUUCAUGACACUGGUGAUUAUUUGUCAACUAUUUCAAGUCAUAUUUUUACUUUAUUUUAUUGAAGAAAAAAGCCUGGAUUUUGGAAAGUGUUCGACUUCAAUUGAAACAUUAAGGGAUUGUAAAAAUUCUCCAUCAAAGAACUCUCGGGAUAUGAAAGCCAGUCUGUCUGAGCAAACAAGAGCAUCCUCUUCUGUGGCUACAUGUCACCAUCACAGCAACAAAGUCAAGAAACAGACUAGAGAUGGUGUGUACACUCUCUGUGCGAUGACCUCUGGACUGAGACGGAACUGGGUC
Molecule: long non-coding RNA, 300 nt
Organism: Periophthalmus magnuspinnatus
Lineage: Eukaryota; Metazoa; Chordata; Actinopteri; Gobiiformes; Gobiidae
Exons: 3
Source: RefSeq, a predicted model, not a curated record